UUUUUUUUUUCUUUUGAAACGAGGUCUCUUAAAUUGCCCAGGCUGACCUUGGACUUAGGUUCACUUAUCUACUCCUAGAAGCAGCAGAGGGGGUGGGGGAGGGGGGUCUGCUUUUUAAAUGAUGAAUCUUUGUGCUCACCUCUGCCCCUAACCUUCCUAUGUCAUUUCUCUCUUUGGGACCCCAAAAUGAGAGGAUUGCGGGUCCUCAAAGGGCCGUUCAAGCCCUGGCAUUCUGAAACUAAAUUAUUCCCGAAUUUCAUCUUAUCUUGUGAUACUACUUCCCCAGUUGCUAAGUGCUUUGCUCUCUGGAAGGCCAAGUUAGCUUUUCCCUAAAUCUGAGAUAGGCGGGGCUAGCAUUAUCCACUUUUGAAGUUGAGGAAAUGGGUUGAGGAAUGUGGAGUGAUGUGCCCCAGAUUAAACUGAGGAAAUGGCUUCAGGAAUUUUGGAAUGAUGUGCCCAAGAUCACACAAUUAUUAAGUGAUAGAUCCGGAACUAGAGGCCACAUCCUUUGAUCCUUGCUCAGUGCUCUUUCCACCACACCUUGAUUUUUUUGUUGUUGUUUUUUCUUUCCUUUUUUAUUCUAGGAUUUACUUCCUAACCAUAAACCAUAACUUCUGUCAGGUGUGACUCCAAGAUUACUCACAGUGAUGCCCUCAGUUCCAGGCACUUGGCAUGCUCAGCAGCCCCCUGGCUUUCCUCUAGUUCUAUCAUCCAUUCUGAAUGCCCCAUUUCCAAUAAAUUCUUAUAGUUUCUUACCAAUUUUGACUCUUAUUUGUCACACCCCCUUCAUAUCACCAUGGGCUUUCAGCAUUUUAAGCCAGAAUGCAACCCUAUCUAGGUCAGUGUACUUAAAAGACAGCUCUCAUAUAGGCUGUUAUUGCUUCUGCACUUCACUUAGC
RNAcentral lists this long non-coding RNA (899 nucleotides) under Marmota monax (woodchuck). Lineage: Eukaryota; Metazoa; Chordata; Mammalia; Rodentia; Sciuridae. The record is from RNAcentral.